GAUAAACGCUGGCGGCGCACAUAAGACAUGCAAGUCGAACGGACUUAACCUAUAGCUUACUAUUGGAGCGGUUAGUGGCGGACUGGUGAGUAACGCGUAAGCAAUCUGCCUAUCAGAGGGGAAUAACAGUGAGAAAUCACUGCUAAUACCGCAUAAGCUGUGAGUAUCGCAUGAUACAAGCAGAAAAGGAGCAAUCCGCUGAUAGAUGAGCUUGCGUCUCAUUAGCUAGUUGGUGAGGGUAACGGCCCACCAAGGCGACGAUGAGUAGCCGAUCUGAGAGGAUGACCGGCCACACUGGAACUGAGAUACGGUCCAG
Molecule: ribosomal RNA, 316 nt
Filed under: uncultured bacterium
Lineage: Bacteria
Description: bacterial SSU rRNA
Rfam family: Bacterial small subunit ribosomal RNA
Source: RNAcentral